UCGGGUAUGGUGUAGCGGUAACAUCGGUGACUCUCAUCUUCUAGAUAACUCACCAGCCCGGGGUUCGACUCCCCGUAUCCGAG
RNAcentral lists this transfer RNA (83 nucleotides) under Gnomoniopsis smithogilvyi. RNAcentral's name for it is "tRNA-Glu". It matches the Rfam family "tRNA". Rfam says of the family: Transfer RNA (tRNA) molecules are approximately 80 nucleotides in length. Their secondary structure includes four short double-helical elements and three loops (D, anti-codon, and T loops). Lineage: Eukaryota; Fungi; Ascomycota; Sordariomycetes; Diaporthales; Gnomoniaceae. RNAcentral also lists the same sequence under 1 other name. The record is from RNAcentral.